GGGGCUUGCGCCACAUUAGUUAGUUGGUGAGGUAAAGGCUUACCAAGAUUAUGAUGUGUAGCUGGACUGAGAGGUUGAACAGCCACAUUGGGACUGAGACACGGCCCAAACUCCUACGGGAGGCAGCAGUAGGGAAUUUUCGGCAAUGGAGGAAACUCUGACCGAGCGACGCCGCGUGAACGAUGAAGUAUUUCGGUAUGUAAAGUUCUUUUAUUGAAGAAGAAAAAAUAGUGGAAAAACUAUCUUGACGUUAUUCAAUGAAUAAGCCCCGGCUAACUAUGUGCCAGCAGCCGCGGUAAGACAUAGGGGGCGAGCGUUAUCCGGAAUUAUUGGGCGUAAAGGGUGCGUAGGCGGUUAGAUAAGUCUAUAAUUUAAUUUCAGUGCUUAACGCUGUCUUGUUAUAGAAACUGUCUUGACUAGAGUGAGAUAGAGGCAAGCGGAAUUCCAUGUGUAGCGGUAAAAUGUGUAAAUAUAUGGAGGAACACCAGAAGCGUAGGCGGCUUGCUGGGUCUUUACUGACGCUGAGGCACGAAAGCGUGGGGAGCAAACAGGAUUAGAUACCCUGGUAGUCCACGCUGUAAACGAUGAGUACUAAGUGUCGGGGUAACUCGGUACUGAAGUUAACACAUUAAGUACUCCGCCUGAGUAGUACGUACGCAAGUAUGAAACUUAAAGGAAUUGACGGGACUCCGCACAAGCGGUGGAUCAUGUUGUUUAAUUCGAAGAUACACGAAAAACCUUACCAGGUCUUGACAUACUCUGCAAAGCUAUAGAAAUAUAGUGGAGGUUAUCAGGGAUACAGGUGGUGCAUGGUUGUCGUCAGUUCGUGUCGUGAGAUGUUAGGUUAAGUCCUAAAACGAACGCAACCCCUGUCGCUAGUUGCCAGCACGUAAUGGUGGGGACUUUAGCGAGACUGCCAAUUAAACAUUGGAGGAAGGUGGGGAUAACGUCAAAUCAUCAUGCCCCUUAUGAUCUGGGCUACAAACGUGAUACAAUGGCUAUUACAAAGAGUAGCUGAAACGCGAGUUUUUAGCCAAUCUCAAAAAA
Molecule: ribosomal RNA, 1047 nt
Filed under: Candidatus Phytoplasma vitis
Lineage: Bacteria; Bacillati; Mycoplasmatota; Mollicutes; Acholeplasmatales; Acholeplasmataceae
Description: bacterial SSU rRNA
Rfam family: Bacterial small subunit ribosomal RNA
Source: RNAcentral